UUUCCGUAGGUGAACCUGCGGAAGGAUCAUUAAUGAGUUGUCAUGGGGUUCGAUGCUGGCAGCCAAUUUUUGGAUGCAUGUGCUUGCCCUAACAAUCAUCCUCCAAACACCUGUGCACAUUUUUGAGGGAGUCUUGAGUUGGUUGCCGCUCUUGGGUGAUUUUCUCACAUUCCCUUAAAUCAUUAUACGCUAUUAACAAUGUUGAACGUGCUCUGUGCCGCAAGGCUAUUAAUAUAAUACAACUUUUAACAACGGAUCUCUUGGCUCUC
RNAcentral lists this unclassified non-coding RNA (269 nucleotides) under plant metagenome. Its description in RNAcentral is "partial contains small subunit ribosomal RNA, internal transcribed spacer 1, and 5.8S ribosomal RNA". The record is from RNAcentral.